This 388-nucleotide ribosomal RNA is filed under the name uncultured fungus. Its description in RNAcentral is "partial small subunit ribosomal RNA". It matches the Rfam family "Eukaryotic small subunit ribosomal RNA", at positions 30 to 432 of the family's 1831-position model. Lineage: Eukaryota; Fungi. The record is from RNAcentral.
GCUUGUCUCAAAGAUUAAGCCAUGCAUGUCUAAGUACAAGCCUCAGUAAGGUGAAACCGCGAAUGGCUCAUUAAAUCACACCUAAUCUACUGGAAAGUUACUAGUUACUUGGAUAACUGAGGUAAUUCUUGAGCUAAUACAUGCGAAAAAUCUCGACUCACGGAGAGAUGCUUUUAUUAGAUCAAAACCAAUGCGGGGUAACCCGGAAUAUGGUGAUUCAUAAUAACUUUCGGAUCGAUUUAUCGAUGCAUCAUUCAAGUUUCUGCCCUAUCAGCUUUGGAUGGUAGGGUAUUGGCCUACCAUGGCUUUAACGGGUAACGGAGAAUUAGGGUUCGAUUCCGGAGAGGGAGCCUGAGAAAUGGCUACCACAUCCAAGGAAGGCAGCAGG